GAUGAACGCUGGCGGCGUGCCUAAGAAAUGAAAGUCGAGGGAACAGAUGAGGAGCUUGAUGGGCUGAGGUGAGCGGCGGACGGGUGAGUAACACGUGGAUAACCGACCUAUAAGACUGGGAUAACUUCGGGAAACCGGAGCUAAUACCGGAUAAUAUAUUGAACCGCAUGGUGCAAUAGUGAAAGACGGUUUUGCUGUCACUUAUAGAUGGAUCCGCGCCGCAUUAGCUAGUUGGUAAGGUAACGGCUGACCAAGGCAACGAUGCGUAGCCGACCUGAGAGGGUGCUCGGCCACACUGGAACUGAGACACGGUCCAGACUCCUACGGGAGGCAGCAGUAGGGAAUCUUCCGCAAUGGGCGAAAGCCUGACGGAGCAACGCCGCGUGAGUGAUGAAGGUCUUCGGAUCGUAACCCUCUGUUAUUCGGGAAGAACAAAUGUGUAAGUCACUAUGCACGUCUUGACGGUACCUAAUCAGAAAGCCCCGGCUCCCUACGUC
Molecule: ribosomal RNA, 497 nt
Filed under: uncultured bacterium
Lineage: Bacteria
Description: partial 16S ribosomal RNA
Rfam family: Bacterial small subunit ribosomal RNA
Source: RNAcentral